RNAcentral lists this ribosomal RNA (245 nucleotides) under uncultured bacterium. Its description in RNAcentral is "partial 16S ribosomal RNA". It matches the Rfam family "Bacterial small subunit ribosomal RNA", at positions 524 to 767 of the family's 1533-position model. The record is from RNAcentral.
UACGAGUGCUUCAAGCGUUAUCCGGAAUCAUUGGGCGUAAAGGGUGUGUAGGCGGUUUCGUUAGUCUUCUCGUAAAAUCCCUCGGCUCAACCGAGGACCUGCGAGGGAAACGGCGAAACUGGAGGACGGAAGAGGUUUCUGGAACUCAUAGUGUAGCGGUGAAAUGCGUUGAUAUUAUGGGGAACACCAAAAGCGAAGGCAAGAAACUGGUCCGCUCCUGACGCUGAAACACGAAAGCGUGGGUC